Molecule: ribosomal RNA, 406 nt
Filed under: uncultured bacterium
Lineage: Bacteria
Description: partial 16S ribosomal RNA
Rfam family: Bacterial small subunit ribosomal RNA
Source: RNAcentral
AUUGAACGCUGGCGGCAGGCCUAACACAUGCAAGUCGAACGAGUGGCGGACGGGUGAGUAAUGUCUGGGAAACUGCCUGAUGGAGGGGGAUAACUACUGGAAACGGUAGCUAAUAUCGCAUACCAUCAGAUGUGCCCAGAUUGGAUUAGCGAGUUGGUGGGGUAACGGCUCACCAAGGCGACGACCCCUAGCUGGUCUGAGAGGAUGACCAGUCACACUGUAACUGAGAAACGGUCCAGACUCCUACGGGAGGCAGGAGUGGGGCAUAUUGCACAAGGGGCGCAAGCCUGAUGCAGCCAUGCCGCGUGUAUGAAGAAGGCCUUCGGGUUGUAAAGUACUUUCAGCGGGGAGGCGUUACCCGCAGAAGAAGCACCGGCUAACUCCGUGCCAGCAGCCGCGGUAAUUC